UGGAGCGAAGAUUUUCAAUGCAAAUCAGAAUAUUUUCUAUACAAACGUGUUCCCAGCUGUACUCCUACCGCACCCUGUCUGUUACCAUCAAUUGGCCAUGGGUUUCCAUAUAGAUCACAGGUGUUACUGAAACAGAGUAAAUCCAGCAGCUCUGUGUUUGAUCCUCCAUCAGCUCAGCUCUUCACUGUAAUCCAGAUCUCCUAACAUGAUGCUCUGCUCCGGACUCAGCAGCACACUGUUGCUGGCAGCUACGUGUUCACUCAUCACUUCAGGGUUGUUUUUCUUUUUAUUUGGUUGGUGUCUCUAGUGAAAAUGAAAUUCACCUUCUAUGGUGGCAGCGCUCUUGAGGCAGAUGAAAUUUCCUCAGCAGAGAUAGGACAGCCCCACAACU
Molecule: long non-coding RNA, 391 nt
Organism: Oreochromis aureus
Lineage: Eukaryota; Metazoa; Chordata; Actinopteri; Cichliformes; Cichlidae
Source: Ensembl